Molecule: ribosomal RNA, 591 nt
Filed under: uncultured Burkholderia sp.
Lineage: Bacteria; Pseudomonadati; Pseudomonadota; Betaproteobacteria; Burkholderiales; Burkholderiaceae
Description: bacterial SSU rRNA
Rfam family: Bacterial small subunit ribosomal RNA
Source: RNAcentral
UCGGGUUGUAAAGCACUUUUGUCCGGAAAGAAAUCCUUGAUCCUAAUAUGGUCGGGGGAUGACGGUACCGGAAGAAUAAGCACCGGCUAACUACGUGCCAGCAGCCGCGGUAAUACGUAGGGUGCGAGCGUUAAUCGGAAUUACUGGGCGUAAAGCGUGCGCAGGCGGUUCGCUAAGACCGAUGUGAAAUCCCCGGGCUUAACCUGGGAACUGCAUUGGUGACUGGCGAGCUAGAGUGUGGCAGAGGGGGGUAGAAUUCCACGUGUAGCAGUGAAAUGCGUAGAGAUGUGGAGGAAUACCGAUGGCGAAGGCAGCCCCUGGGCUAACACUGACGCUCAUGCACGAAAGCGUGGGGAGCAAACAGGAUUAGAUACCCUGGUAGUCCACGCCCUAAACGAUGUCAACUAGUUGUUGGGGAUUCAUUUCCUUAGUAACGUAGCUAACGCGUGAAGUUGACCGCCUGGGGAGUACGGUCGCAAGAUUAAAACUCAAAGGAAUUGACGGGGACCCGCACAAGCGGUGGAUGAUGUGGAUUAAUUCGAUGCAACGCGAAAAACCUUACCUACCCUUGACAUGGACGGAAUCUUGCUG